CGUUGGCUCCAGACAAAUAAACAUGGAGUCCAUCUUCCACGAGAAACAAGAAGGCUCACUUUGUGCUCAACAUUGCCUGAAUAACUUAUUGCAAGGAGAAUAUUUUAGCCCUGUGGAAUUAUCCUCAAUUGCACAUCAGCUGGAUGAGGAGGAGAGGAUGAGAAUGGCAGAAGGAGGAGUUACUAGUGAAGAUUAUCGCACGUUUUUACAGCAGCCUUCUGGAAAUAUGGAUGACAGUGGUUUUUUCUCUAUUCAGUGGUUUAACUUGAAUUCUCUCUUGACGGGUCCAGAAUUAAUAUCAGAUACAUAUCUUGCACUUUUCUUGGCUCAAUUACAACAGGAAGGUUAUUCUAUAUUUGUUGUUAAGGGUGAUCUGCCAGAUUGCGAAGCUGACCAACUCCUGCAGAUGAUUAGGGUCCAACAGAUGCACCGACCAAAACUUAUUGGAGAAGAAUUAGCACAACUAAAAGAGCAAAGAGUCCAUAAAACAGACCUGGAACGAGUGUUAGAAGCAAAUGAUGGCUCAGGAAUGUUAGACGAAGACGAGGAGGAUUUGCAGAGGGCUCUGGCACUAAGUCGCCAAGAAAUUGACAUGGAAGAUGAGGAAGCAGAUCUCCGCAGGGCUAUUCAGCUAAGUAUGCAAGGUAGUUCCAGAAAUAUAUCUCAAGAUAUUCCACAGACAUCAGGUACAAAUCUUACUUCAGAAGAGCUUCGGAAGAGACGAGAAGCCUACUUUGAAAAUCACAACUCAGAAGUAGAUGAAGGAAAAUUCUGAUCAGCUGACAUCCUCUUAAUACAGCAGCAAAAGCAGCAACAGCAGCCGCAAAAGCAGCAACAGCAGCCGCAACAGCAGCAGCAGCAGCAGCAGGGGGACCUAUCAGGACAGAGUUCACAUCCAUGUGAAAGGCCAACCACCAGUUCAGGAGCACUUGGGAGUGAUC
RNAcentral lists this small RNA (941 nucleotides) under Pongo abelii (Sumatran orangutan). Its description in RNAcentral is "processed transcript". Lineage: Eukaryota; Metazoa; Chordata; Mammalia; Primates; Hominidae. The record is from RNAcentral.